UAGCAACAGCAAGUUAAC
This 18-nucleotide non-coding RNA is filed under the name Mus musculus (house mouse). Lineage: Eukaryota; Metazoa; Chordata; Mammalia; Rodentia; Muridae. The record is from RNAcentral.